Molecule: ribosomal RNA, 446 nt
Filed under: uncultured bacterium
Lineage: Bacteria
Description: partial 16S ribosomal RNA
Rfam family: Bacterial small subunit ribosomal RNA
Source: RNAcentral
CCUACGGGUGGCAGCAGUCGAGAAUCAUUCACAAUGGGGGAAACCCUGAUGGUGCGACGCCGCGUGGAGGACUGCAGGUCUUCGGAUUGUAAACCCCUGUCAUGUGGGAGCAAAUUAAAAAGAUAGUACCACAAGAGGAAGAGACGGAUAACUCUUGGCCAGCGGCCGCGGUAAUACAGAGGUCUCAAGCGUUGUUCGGAAUCACUGGGCGUAAAGCGUGCGUAGGCGGUUUCGUAAGUCUGGUGUGAAUGGCGCGGGCUCAACCCGCGGACGGCACAUGACACUGCGAGACUAGAGUAAUGGAGGGGGAACCGGAAUUCUAGGUGUAGCAGUGAAAUGCGUAGAUAUCGAGAGGAACACUCGUGGCGAAGGCGGGUUCCUGGACAUUAACUGACGCUGAGGCACGAAGGCCAGGGGAGCGAAAGGGAUUAGAUACCCUAGUAGUC